UACGAAGGGUGCAAGCGUUGUUCGGAAUUAUUGGGCGUAAAGGGCGCGUAGGCGGGCCCAUAAGUCAACUGUGAAAUCCCUAGGCUUAACCUGGGACGUGCAGUUGAAACUGUGGGUCUUGAAUGCUUGAGAGGGUGGUAGAAUUCCAGGUGUAGAAGUGAAAUUCGUAGAUAUCUGGAGGAAUACCUGAGGCGAAGGCGGCCACCUGGUAAGACAUUGACGCUGAGGCGCGAAAGCACGGGGAGCAAAC
This 250-nucleotide ribosomal RNA is filed under the name uncultured bacterium. RNAcentral describes it as "partial 16S ribosomal RNA". It matches the Rfam family "Bacterial small subunit ribosomal RNA", at positions 524 to 773 of the family's 1533-position model. The record is from RNAcentral.